UACAGAGGUCUCAAGCGUUGUUCGGAUUCAUUGGGCGUAAAGGGUGCGUAGGUGGCGUCGUAAGUCAGGUGUGAAAUUUCGGAGCUUAACUCCGAAACUGCAUUUGAUACUGCGGUGCUUGAGGACUGGAGAGGAGACUGGAAUUUACGGUGUAGCAGUGAAAUUCGUAGAUAUUCGGAGGAACACCAGUGGCGAAGGCGGCUCACUGGUCCGGUACUGACGCUGAGGUGCGAAAGCGUGGGGAGCAAACAGG
Molecule: ribosomal RNA, 253 nt
Filed under: uncultured bacterium
Lineage: Bacteria
Description: partial 16S ribosomal RNA
Rfam family: Bacterial small subunit ribosomal RNA
Source: RNAcentral